GGCAACAAAACUGACACCUUUUUUUUACAAGGAGUCAUGUUUGCAUAGACCACAAUACCUGCAGUCAGAAUGCAAACAAAAAACAUAACUCUGAUAAUGUACGCACUGUCCUUGAAGUUGAUUGGUCCACACCCGAGACAGCUUACCUUAGAGCCUCGUCUCACAUGGGUUGGACCAGAUGACGCCAAAAGGCGCACAACUCCAUCAGAGUAUGAGAGCUCGGGCAAAACAAAAUAGAACCCACCGCUGGAAGGGCUGAUGGGCGACGGCCGAGACUGGCGAUGCAUUGGCAGAGAGCACGCUGGAGAGGAUGACCAACAGAGAGGCGGAGCAAUGAGGUGAGGCCGCGGUGGACUCAUUUGCAAGAGUUACCUGGUUUGGAGUUUCCACGACCGGCCUAAGUCAACCAAGAGACAACCACUGCCCAAUGCUCAUUGCAGCGUGAAUACUCUUGGACUUGUUUGCGAGGAAAAACAUUGUAUAGGAUCAGUGAGAUUGUAUUAUGGCUCGUAAAGAUUUUACAGUUCAGAGAAUGUUAAGGAUAAUGACUCCAGACUGUAAUUAGAUAGCGGUAUGCUUGAUUUGUUUCACAUCUUCUCAGAUGUUUGGGCAGUAUGAAAGAGUAGGCCUAAUAACCUCUAGAAGGGCUCUCCAGAGCUCCCUCAAAGUGGAGGCCCUACCACCAUAAGAAGGGUGAGAAGUGUUUGUUGUCGUAACGUACUGACCCGCCCCUACUGGGCAUCUGUGAAAAAGAGCUUCACAGCUCAUCGGAUUUCUCUCGGAUAAAUAAAGACUGAUUCCGAGAAUUAAAUUUCAGGCUGCACCUCUACCUUUUACACUUGAUUUACACAAGACACAUUCCUUCAUGUCCUACCCAUUGAAGAAACACCAAUAUAUAAACAUUUAUUGCUGGAAAGGAAGUACCAAAGAGAGCGCAUUUGACAGCUAAGGUAAUGGUGUGAUUUUGUUGU
Long non-coding RNA from Lethenteron reissneri (Far Eastern brook lamprey), 971 nucleotides. RefSeq lists it as uncharacterized. Lineage: Eukaryota; Metazoa; Chordata; Hyperoartia; Petromyzontiformes; Petromyzontidae. The record is from RefSeq and is a predicted model, not a curated record.